RNAcentral lists this ribosomal RNA (452 nucleotides) under uncultured bacterium. RNAcentral's name for it is "bacterial SSU rRNA". It matches the Rfam family "Bacterial small subunit ribosomal RNA", at positions 29 to 524 of the family's 1533-position model. The record is from RNAcentral.
AACGAACGCUGGCGGCAGGCUUAACACAUGCAAGUCGAACGCGUGUAGCAAUACACGAGUGGCGCACGGGUGCGUAACGCGUGGGAAUCUGCCCUUGGGUUCGGAAUAACAGUUAGAAAUGACUGCUAAUACCGAAUGAUGUCUUCGGACCAAAGAUUUAUCGCCCAAGGAUGAGCCCGCGUCGGGUUAGCUAGUUGGUGAGGUAAAGGCUCACCAAGGCGACGAUCCGUAGCUGGUCUGAGAGGAUGAUCAGCCACACUGGGACUGAGACACGGCCCAGACUCCUACGGGAGGCAGCAGUGGGGAAUAUUGGACAAUGGGCGAAAGCCUGAUCCAGCAAUGCCGCGUGAGUGAUGAAGGCCUUAGGGUUGUAAAGCUCUUUUACCCGGGAUGAUAAUGACAGUACCGGGAGAAUAAGCCCCGGCUAACUCCGUGCCAGCAGCCGCGGUAAU